RNAcentral lists this ribosomal RNA (253 nucleotides) under uncultured bacterium. RNAcentral's name for it is "partial 16S ribosomal RNA". It matches the Rfam family "Bacterial small subunit ribosomal RNA", at positions 524 to 776 of the family's 1533-position model. The record is from RNAcentral.
UACAGAGGGGGCAAGCGUUGUUCGGAAUUACUGGGCGUAAAGGGCGUGUAGGCGGCCCGCUAAGUCGAACGUGAAAUCCCCAGGCUCAACCUGGGAACUGCGUCCGAUACUGGCAGGCUUGAAUCCGGGAGAGGGAUGUGGAAUUCCAGGUGUAGCGGUGAAAUGCGUAGAUAUCUGGAGGAACACCGGUGGCGAAGGCGGCAUCCUGGACCGGUAUUGACGCUGAGGCGCGAAAGCUAGGGGAGCAAACGGG